UACGUAGGGUGCGAGCGUUAAUCGGAAUUACUGGGCGUAAAGCGUGCGCAGGCGGUUUUGUAAGCCAGAUGUGAAAUCCCCGGGCUUAACCUGGGAAUGGCAUUUGGGACUGCAAGGCUGGAGUUUGGCAGAGGAGACUGGAAUUCCCGGUGUAGCAGUGAAAUGCGUAGAUAUCGGGAGGAAUACCGAUGGCGAAGGCAGGUCUCUGGGCUAUAACUGACGCUCAUGCACGAAAGCGUGGGGAGCAAACAUG
RNAcentral lists this ribosomal RNA (253 nucleotides) under uncultured bacterium. RNAcentral's name for it is "partial 16S ribosomal RNA". It matches the Rfam family "Bacterial small subunit ribosomal RNA", at positions 524 to 776 of the family's 1533-position model. The record is from RNAcentral.